Molecule: long non-coding RNA, 3475 nt
Organism: Salvelinus sp. IW2-2015
Lineage: Eukaryota; Metazoa; Chordata; Actinopteri; Salmoniformes; Salmonidae
Source: RefSeq, a predicted model, not a curated record
AUAUAGCCAUCGAUAGAGGAAAUCUGAGCGCACUGCCAAUGAGGACAGGAAUCAAUGGAUGCUGCAUGUUCCAGGCCUGAGCCCACGAUUGCAGAGAAACAAUGCUGCUUUCUCUGGCAGGCCAGACAAUCGUUUUGAGGCCACCAGGCUGCAAUGCCCACAGCCAAAGAUCCAGGCCCCUGACACCCUGGGACCACCAGAACACCCUAGGGCUGUGGUCUGCACGGAGGUCCCAAGCCCCGAGGACCCUUCCAGAGAGCGGCUAGCUGAAUAGAGAGCCUGUUCCGCCUGGUCUCUGCCACUGUCCGGGUUUUCAGCACCACCUCGCCAACAGCCAUUAUCCUUUGGGGAAUGGGCUCUGUACUAAGGAAUACUCCAUCCAGCUGCUCUGUAGGAGGAUGGGAGGGAGCCACAAUACUGUGACACCCCAGCACACUGAUGAUGCUAUCCUCUAGUCCAGUGGUUCCCAACCUUUUUUCAGGUAACUGAAUUUUGAUCUGCCCGGAGUACCACGGAAGUACCUCCUCAUGUGCAUUUUACCAGUCGGCCUAUUAUCUCAUGAGUCUUCUCAAGUACCCCCCUGUUGAUAGGCCAAAUACCCCCCCCCCCCCCCCGGAAGUCCUAGUACCCCUGGUUGGGAACCACUGCUCUAGUCUGUGGGCUGUUGUGCUGCUGCCUGCUGGGGGCGGAACACAUCCCAGGGGGCGUGGCCAUGGUGGCAGGUUAGGAUCCUUGAUUCCGUAAGCCUGUGCUCAGACACACUCUCCUUUCAUCUCCGAAUAAAGAAAAGAAAACUGAAGCGCUUCGUAGGUUUUUCUGGUACUAAAUACUUCCUGUUUCAUUUGGAUGCUGAUAACAAUUUAGGGAAGAAGAAGAAGAAGAAAAAGAAGAAAAGAAAAUACAUAAUAAGGAUGACUAGCAUGACGACUCCACGAUUUGUUCUGUUUUUAUCUUUACAUUCCAGAAUGAAAGAAGGCACCGUUUUUUUUUUAUGCUGACUCAUUCUUUGUCUUUUUUUUAUGUGUCUAAGAAGUGUAUAGUGGAUUUAGGAUUUUGAAUGCAUGGAACUUUAUAUCCAAGACCUUACACUGUUCACCAUUUCAAUCACAGAGGCCAUAAGACACUGGUUAAUAAUAAAACUAAUUUACAAAACUCCAAAAGAAGACAAGGUGGACAUAACACUGAAUCUGGCCACAGAAUGGGAGAAUCAUCAUUCGGGCGGUUUUGGUUGCACCAUGAGAGUCGAAUGUGGCUAGGUUUUUUUUUUUUCAGCCAUUGCAAAGCCAUUAAUAAGAAAAUAAAAAACAUCCCCAGAACGUUUGGGUUCAUAGUGUUUCUGAACCUUCCCACAACGUUUGGAUUUCUGGUGUUUAUUAAUUUUAUUUUUUAUUUUUUUUACAACAGUUUUUCGUUCUCGCUCUGUAUUUGCCUGAUUUUCUGUUACAUGAUAGCGGAUUCGCCUUAAUCAUGCCAUUCUUUUUAUUUAGAGGAAAGUGACAUCUCUUAUUUUUGUACUCCAUGUUGUGUCCAUAAAGCUUAUUUUCAUUGCAGACUUUUUUUAUGUGAUAAUGAUGUCAGCUAGAACACUGACUGUGAGAUUCAUUUAAUAUUUUUGUAUGUUGUUUCACUUUUAGGUUUGAAAUGAUUUAUAUGAUUUAUUUUUCAUACAUUUAUGUGUUUAUGGUUGCCAUAAUAAUUGAUUACGUUAUUUAUUGAUUUAUGAUUUAUGAUGAUUUAUGAAAAUGCAAUAGUAUGUGGAAAGAAGUCAGUAAAGAACACAGCCUUGUGUCAUUUAAAAAAUCAGUGGUCAGGAAUGUGUUGCCUCUGUCUGUAUAUCUGAGUUGUGCGAUUUUCUGCUAUCACAUCUUAACAGGGCCACACCUGGGUCACAUUCAUUAGGCACCAAACCGAAGAAACAACGGACUGAAACAGGGAGGUACUACCUGAAAUUGUCCAAUAAGAAGCCCUAAUUUUCAUUUUUCUGUUGUAAAACGUUUUGCAACGGUGUGCUCUAAUGAAUACGACCCUGGAAAUCCAUUCUUGUACUUUGUUACUGCCCAGACAAGGCACAUACUAUCUGCCCAUUUUGAUAUGUGAGCACUGCAAGACAGCAGAGAGGCACUGAAUACAAACCAGUGCAAAUCACCAUUGAAUCUGACUUGAAGUACUUUAGCCUUCUAUUGUUGACUGUCAUCAUCAUCAAUGGGUUUUCAUGUUUUCUGGCUUACUACAAAUGUUUUAAUAUCCAAAAGAACACAAAAAGGAAAAGAGAUAAUACUUACUGACUGAAGUAGUACAUAUAGGCUAUGUGUUUCAAAUAUACUGAGGUUGACACACUGGAGAAACCUAGUCUGCGCACACUCACAUGUGGCUGUAUGAGUUAUGUGCAUGUUAAAGGUGUUUGGAGCAUUAGACGCUGAAGGGUCAAAGAUACAGUUGGUUCAGUCACAGAGAGUUAUUUGCCUUUGUUUUUGCGACCAAACUGCAAACCCCAAGAUGUUGACAGUUGUCACAGAAACCUCUCAGGUCAGUGUUCUUCCUGCUGUUCUUUGCAGUGCAGUGUAGUUCGACUGGUCAGGUGGGACUGGUCAGGCACUCCGAUGCUACAGGGGCCMACUGAUGGGAUCCCAAACCUGAUGUAUAUUGUCUCUCUCUCUCUCUCUGUGUGUGUGGACGCUGGGAUAAAGCAUGCUCCGGCAAAAUCUCAGUAACAGUCACUUCUGUAUCGUUACGGUCCUGAUGUCUGUGUGUAUGUGUGAGUAUGCGUGUGUUUCUCAUCAUCCUAUUACAAAACCACAAAACAAACCAAUAUUUGAAAAAUAAAACAUAAGUGUGUGGUCGACAGCAACUUUUCCAUUUCAAACGUUCUAUGCAAUUAAUCAUAUUUAGGGGGAAUACGAGGGAAGAAAAAAACAACUGAAUAUCACUAUCGUUGUCAUGCCUGAGAAAAAUACUGCUUUAUUGUAGCGUUCCUGCUACAAAAACAAAUUGACUUGUUUGUAUAUAGCUACAAUACUUUUACGUCAGGAAUUUGAUUCAAUGUUUUUUUGGGGGGGGCAUGUUUGAGUCUCCUCACUGAAAAUUGGGACCCGUUGCCAAAGGAUGAACUAUAUAGGCACCCUAAAACGGCAGGUUAUUUCCAUGUGUGCACUAAAGGCUAUAGGGAAUCGGAUGCCAUUUCUUUAAUGUAGAAUACUGUCAUAAAAGUCUGCCAUCUUAUUGCUUCAAGCAUGGGUACAGUGAAUGGUCUUCUACCUACAGUACAGCCGUGGAUCCCAAUAUUUGGCUGCCAAUUUGUGCACUUCUUAUUCCGUAAAGUGAAUAAAGCUGCUGAAGAAUUAAGCCAAUUCUAUGAAGAGAUUAAAUAUAUCAAUUAUAUAUACAGUACCAGGCAAACGUUUGGACACCUAAUCAUUACAGGGUUUUUAAAAACUAUUAUCUACACUGUUACUAUGAAAUAACACAUAUGGAGUCG